RNAcentral lists this ribosomal RNA (960 nucleotides) under uncultured marine bacterium. Its description in RNAcentral is "bacterial SSU rRNA". It matches the Rfam family "Bacterial small subunit ribosomal RNA", at positions 56 to 1061 of the family's 1533-position model. The record is from RNAcentral.
UGCAAGUCGAACGAACCUUCGGGUUAGUGGCGGACGGGUGAGUAACGCGUGAGAAUCUGCCCUCAGGAGGGGGAUAACAGCUGGAAACGGCUGCUAAUACCCCAUAUGCCGCGAGGUGAAAUGAAUUUCGCCUGAGGAUGAGCUCGCGUCUGAUUAGCUAGUUGGUGUAGGUAAAGGCUCACCAAGGCAUCGAUCAGUAGCUGGUCUGAGAGGAUGAUCAGCCACACUGGGACUGAGACACGGCCCAGACUCCUACGGGAGGCAGCAGUGGGGAAUUUUCCGCAAUGGGCGAAAGCCUGACGGAGCAACGCCGCGUGAGGGAUGAAGGCCUCUGGGCUGUAAACCUCUUUUAUCAAGGAAGAAGAUCUGACGGUACUUGAUGAAUAAGCCACGGCUAAUUCCGUGCCAGCAGCCGCGGUAAUACGGGAGUGGCAAGCGUUAUCCGGAAUUAUUGGGCGUAAAGCGUCCGCAGGCGGCCCAGAAAGUCUGCUGUUAAAACGUGGAGCUUAACUCCAUCAUGGCAGUGGAAACUGUUGGGCUUGAGUGUGGUAGGGGCAGAGGGAAUUCCCGGUGUAGCGGUGAAAUGCGUAGAUAUCGGGAAGAACACCAGUGGCGAAGGCGCUCUGCUGGGCCAUCACUGACGCUCAUGGACGAAAGCCAGGGGAGCGAAAGGGAUUAGAUACCCCUGUAGUCCUGGCCGUAAACGAUGAACACUAGGUGUCGGGGGAAUCGACCCCCUCGGUGUCGUAGCCAACGCGUUAAGUGUUCCGCCUGGGGAGUACGCACGCAAGUGUGAAACUCAAAGGAAUUGACGGGGGCCCGCACAGCGGUGGAGUAAUGUGGGUUUAAUUCGAUGCAACGCGAAGAACCUUACCAGGGUUUGACAUCCUGCGAACCUCUUGGAAACGAGAGGGUGCCUUCGGGACGCAGUGACAGGUGGUGCAUGGCUGUCGUCAGCUC